RNAcentral lists this transfer RNA (74 nucleotides) under Candidatus Saccharimonadota bacterium. RNAcentral describes it as "tRNA-Thr". It matches the Rfam family "tRNA". From Rfam's summary of the family: Transfer RNA (tRNA) molecules are approximately 80 nucleotides in length. Their secondary structure includes four short double-helical elements and three loops (D, anti-codon, and T loops). The record is from RNAcentral. Lineage: Bacteria; Candidatus Saccharimonadota. RNAcentral also lists the same sequence under 2 other names.
GCCGACGUAGCUCAGUUGGCCAGAGCAAUCCCCUCGUAAGGGAUAGGUCGUGAGUUCGAAUCUCACCGUCGGCU